UAUAGGGACUGCAUAGUCCGAGU
RNAcentral lists this non-coding RNA (23 nucleotides) under Arabidopsis thaliana (thale cress). Lineage: Eukaryota; Viridiplantae; Streptophyta; Magnoliopsida; Brassicales; Brassicaceae. The record is from RNAcentral.